RNAcentral lists this long non-coding RNA (218 nucleotides) under Populus tremula. Its description in RNAcentral is "long non-coding RNA (PTRE_LNC003179)". The record is from RNAcentral. Lineage: Eukaryota; Viridiplantae; Streptophyta; Magnoliopsida; Malpighiales; Salicaceae.
GAAAUUCUGUCUAGGGGCCUGAUUAAAAACAUGUUGAAACUUGGAGGACCAGAAUGAAAACCUGCCGCCCUGACCAGAAACGACGCCGUUUUUCAUUUCUGGUCAUCGUCUUCUUCCUCUUAGAACACAAGAAACUCCCUGCAAAGAAGGAGAGGAAGAACAUUAAUUGCCACCACAAUCGAACGAACAAUCUCCACGAUUUCUAUCGUCAUUUCUCA